Molecule: ribosomal RNA, 497 nt
Filed under: uncultured bacterium
Lineage: Bacteria
Description: partial 16S ribosomal RNA
Rfam family: Bacterial small subunit ribosomal RNA
Source: RNAcentral
GAUGAACGCUGGCGGCGUGCCUAAUACAUGCAAGUCGAGCGGACGGACGAGAAGCUUGCUUCUCUGAUGUUAGCGGCGGACGGGUGAGUAACACGUGGAUAACCUACCUAUAAGACUGGGAUAACUUCGGGAAACCGGAGCUAAUACCGGAUAAUAUUUUGAACCGCAUGGUUCAAAAGUGAAAGACGGUCUUGCUGUCACUUAUAGAUGGAUCCGCGCUGCAUUAGCUAGUUGGUAAGGUAACGGCUUACCAAGGCAACGAUGCAUAGCCGACCUGAGAGGGUGAUCGGCCACGCUGGAACUGAGACACGGUCCAGACUCCUACGGGAGGCAGCAGUAGGGAAUCUUCCGCAAUGGGCGAAAGCCUGACGGAGCAACGCCGCGUGAGUGAUGAAGGUCUUCGGAUCGUAAAACUCUGUUAUUAGGGAAGAACAUAUGUGUAAGUAACUGUGCACAUCUUGACGGUACCUAAUCAGAAAGCCACGGCUAACUACGUG